UCGCAUUAGGUACAAGCAUUUUAUAUGCGC
This 30-nucleotide small RNA is filed under the name Bombyx mori (domestic silkworm). RNAcentral describes it as "ovarian small RNA-28636". The record is from RNAcentral. Lineage: Eukaryota; Metazoa; Arthropoda; Insecta; Lepidoptera; Bombycidae.